GAGCUGCUCCAGCCCUUACUGGUUAACGGGAACUGGUAAGCAUCCCCCAUUAAGAGUGGUGCUAACCAGUUAACCUUUUACAUCCCUAGCUAGGCGCCUCAGACUUAAUUAUUGUUCUUACGUUCUCUGUGGAUUCCACGUGCUCUGGAUUCCUAAUUUUGGGUCUCUGCUUCUAGCUCAUAACUGAGAGGGAACUCCACAUUCUCAAGGUUUGGGUUUUUAAUCUGAGAUACUGGUAGGUGUCCUGUGCACAAUCACCAUUUCCCCUUUCUCAGGCUCCUUUAUUGUUCUUUCAUCAAUUCCUUUCUAACGGUGGACAACAACCAUUUCCAAAACACGCCACAGCCCCGGUAUCGUUCCAGCGCCUUUCCCGAUUAACUUAAUUUUGCCUCAAGAACUCUUGUCUUCCCUUGUUGUCUGAAUCCUAACAUUUAGAUCACAAACUCUUUGGGAGCAUAGCUAGUAUCUUCUUAGUAUUGCCCAUGCAAUAUGUGCUUUAUGUGAUGGCUUAGAUGGAGAUGUGCUGUUGAUGAUUCUAUAUUCUGUAAUGCCCUGGCGGCUUUAUCUAGAGGGAAUUUGAAAUCUUAAAAGUUACCCCGAAGUUUUUAAUUCUGCCAGCAGGUGCGUGACCUAGAGAAACAUGACUUGAAAGCUAGGUGUUCAAACAGUCCAGUCGUUUUAUUUAAUCGGUAGAAGUACAUGGCUGAAUGGGGCCCUAAUUGAUCAAACCAGUCUGAAGUUUAAGUGGUGUCAAAGCAUAAUACUUGCGGAGUAGAACAGCUUGGGCGGGCAGCUGCAGACUUAAUCCAGGAGGCUUAUGAGACCACCACGUGGCCUGUUCUGAGCACUACAGCUUGACAUCUUGACUUGUGCUGCCUUGUUGCAGAGCCUAUUCGCCAGCGUGUGGUGCUCACGCUUUCCUGGCCCCUAUCCUUUUCAGGAUAUCUUGAAUUAUCUCCUGGAUAUUAGUACCCUGGAUAUUACUACCAGAGUGUUACUCUCCUGUGUAGUCAGUUGGACUGUUGUGUGGUGGUGGUACAUGUAUUUCCCUUAGUUCCCUUCUCCUUGUUGCAGCAUGUUGUUUACACUUAAUUUUAAAGACAGAGUGAUUUGGGGGUCUUUAGGCUCCUAUAAACGGGCAUCUAGUGGAUGAGAUAGCAAAGAAAAUGGCCUGAAAAAGAUAAAGCAUCAAUAAGUUGCCCUUCAUUCUCCCAUAUCUCUUUAACAUGAAGAUCUAUUCAUGCUUUUUCCUCAUCCUAUUUAGAAUGGACGGAAUUUUCCUAUGGCUUUAUGUAUGGUGUUGCAAUUUAAGAAUAUUUUUGCCACUUGUAUCUCAAGAAGGCAACUAUGAAACACUAUAUAAGACUGAUGCACUGACAAUUUGUCUGUGCAAAGUGCACUUUUUAGUUCCUUAAAGGAUCCACAGCUUUGAGAACCUUGAGGAGUUACUGCCUUAUUUUGGCUUGAAGUGGAGACCCAUGAGUGGGAAUCCAGUGAAAUAUUUUUGUCCAAAGAUCUAAACUUACAGGUAAGUAUUUAAAAAAAAAAAAAUUUGCAAUACAGUGACACACGUGUGCCCAGGAGAGAAUUUCAGCCUUUGCACCAAAUUUCUCAGCAUUGCUUCUAAAUUUAAAGCUCUAACAUUUGUUUUAAUGUAGACUUUGAUUUUGUGAAAUCGGUUUUAUCUGUAUCAUCGAUUUUAUGCAAACACUGCAAAUGGAAGAGAAAGGGGAAAAAAGUGAUGUUGGGGUUUCCUCCAUUUUUUUUUUGUUCCACCAUUCUUAGAACCAGAAACGAUCUCCAUUAAUUGUAAGAAUGGGUCCCUCCCCCACCCCCAAUCUGAGGAGGAGUUUUUUAGAGAAUGGGAGAAACAAAUGCAACUUUAAGAUAGGCAAGGGGAAAAAGUCACAAGAUGUUUAAAACACAUAUCCCUCUUUUACUUGAAGUAAAAUAGCUAGUAACUAUUGUGCUCCAAAUGGUUGGUCAUUUAUUUUGUGAUGUUACUUAUAACCAACAAGUAUCUGCCUUUCUCUUUCAUACAAGUCUUUACAUGCACUCACUACUUUAUUGUAUAGAUACCUAUUGUUUAAACUCUUUUCUUUUUUUUUUCUUUUUUUUUGCACACAAGUGUUUUGUUGAUGAUAAAUAAUUUUGAAAGUUUUUUUUGUUGUUGAAUUCUAACUUAUUAGGAAAAUAACAUUCUUUUCAUAACUGUAACAAUUAAAUUUAAAAAAAUGCUGCGAUCUAUAAUUUGCUAACGGUGCCAUUGUGCUGCUUCUUAUGGUACAAAAAAAAUGCACAUUUUAUUUAAAUACCUUUUUAUAGUCGCACAUACUGGUGGAGUUACAAAAACAGAAAACGCAUUGUGCCUAAAACAUGAUUGAAUAUGUUGACAAAAACUUUACUUGAUUUUAAAACUGACUGGAUUUUACUUUACAGCGUGGUAGCAAAGAUAGUUGGUGGAUGUUGCUAUUAUCGGUCACUAAAUAAAGGCUCUAGUUUUAUUGCCUGUGCAGAAACUUUAUUGUAUUUACAAUUUUAUUGUUAAUAUUUUUUGAAAAAGUGUUGCUGGCCAAGUGCUAAUUGCAAAUCUGAAUAUUCUGUUUAUUGUGGCUAUUUCCAUAUUUGACAUAAAUGGCCUAUUGCACAUUUCAUUUCUUGGCCUUUUGGAGAUUUUUGCUGUGGGAACGAAGAGGAGGGAUUUUAUCCAGAGCUCUGGACUCUACAUAUACAUUUGACAUCACUGGUAAUGCUUUUGUCCCCAAAUCUCAGGAGUGUUUUAGGCAGUGGAAUUGGUUUCCCCUUCACUGAUACCAAGAUGCGUGUUCUAGGGUCUUGUUAACAAUAUUUCAUUGCAGUCCUAGGUAUCUAUAGCAUGAGUGGCCUUAGUGAAUUUGUUGAAGUGCACAUUUUUUUUUCAAAAGUAAAUUUUAAGAUGAAAAAUAUAUACUAUAUAAAUAUAUAGAGAGAUAUCUAGAAACUUGGUUUGUGGUGCACAAGUUAAGUGUUGGAUCACAAAAUAACUGUCGCAGGUACCAUACGUGUAACACUUUCUUUUUAUGUAUAUUCCUUUAGAGGAAACAAUGUUGCCAUGGUAACUGAAACUUUACCAUUUAUUCCUUACUUUCUGAUGUGAAUGAACUCUACAUUUUAUUGACUAUUACCAGGUUCAGUACUAUUUUUAUAUUUUAUUGUACUCCGGGGGAUUUUAAUUUAAUAGCAUUCUAAAAAAAGAUGUUGCUUGAACUGUUUUAAAGCAAAAUACUAAAACCAAGAAAACCUUUUAAACCGGAAUCCCCACUGACAGUGCCACAGUAAUUUAUAUGAACGUAUCUUGAUCAUUGCUAGACUUUGAAGAUCCUUCUAUUUGUUGUGUCAAUAACCUUUCGUAUCCUACUUCUCAUAAACUGCAGUGCCCAACAUUAUUUGUAACCAUCAAACCAUACCGAGUAUGUUUGUAACCAGCAUUGUGAUAUUCUGUAAUUGUACUGCUAAAAUGAAUUAUUGACCUAAUAAAUAUAGUGUUCCUGCA
Molecule: non-coding RNA, 3532 nt
Organism: Pelodiscus sinensis (Chinese soft-shelled turtle)
Lineage: Eukaryota; Metazoa; Chordata; Testudines; Trionychidae
Source: RefSeq, a predicted model, not a curated record